Molecule: non-coding RNA, 73 nt
Organism: Gymnothorax javanicus (giant moray)
Lineage: Eukaryota; Metazoa; Chordata; Actinopteri; Anguilliformes; Muraenidae
Source: the annotation of a GenBank genome assembly
GCCCCAAUGGCCCAGUGGUAACUCUCCCACCUGCCGUGUGGACGACCUGGGUUCAAAUCCCGCCAUCGGCGCC